This is a long non-coding RNA of Alosa sapidissima (American shad), 1722 nucleotides long. RefSeq lists it as uncharacterized. The transcript is spliced from 2 exons. The record is from RefSeq and is a predicted model, not a curated record. NCBI's taxonomy places the organism in Eukaryota, Metazoa, Chordata, Actinopteri, Clupeiformes, Clupeidae.
CAUUUCAUGUGGGUAACAUUCUCCCGGCGUCGUGAAUAAAGCUGCAGUCUCACACCAGUUGUCUUGGAUUAAUUUUGACCACAUUAAUGGCGACGAGGAUGGGAUUACCUAUCUAUGAGGCACAGUGAGGAGGACCAAAGGCGCAGGACCCCAACCAUGUCGACUGGAGGGAGAUCUCUUUGUGAUCUUGGGAGAAGGCCGUCAUCGGCAACAAACACUGCUUUGCGGCACCCAGCCUGGCCAGAGGGAAUCCUCCUGUGUUUCGGAUACGGUAACGACCGUAUUCGGUGGUCACAGACAACGUGGUGAUAUUUUUCUGUCCAAGCAGAUGAAUUGGUAGCCCUAUUCAGGGAAUGUAUUUAAGCAAAUGGGAAUCAAUUUGUAUUUAUAUAUAUAGUCAUUAUAACUGGGGAAUUGUGCAUGAUCACAUCUACAGACAAACCUGUACAACAUAAAAAUGGGAUAGCAAUAUUGUUAAAUGCCAUUCAACUCCCUACAUCUGUGGCUGUCUUAAAAUGUGCAGCCCACUCUGCAAAUACAGAUGUUAUCAGCUGGGGCAAUAGGAAGGCUGACGCGGCAGCUACAGAAAGAGAGCCGCGCAGGGGGGAGUGCAGAGAAUAUCACCAAACUUUUUGAAACCACAUUUCUGAAUUUACAAAUACCAGAUGUAGUUACAUCUGAAGAGGCUUUAAAGGAAGCAUAAAAGCAUCAGAUAAUAAGGAAAGAUGGAAAUGGAAGAAUUGUAAGGACAGAACACAUGGUCUGUGGGUACAGUACAUACACCGACAGACAGACCGGUUUUUCCAAGAUCUUGUUUCCAUAUUAUUGCUAAACUAUCAGUGGCUUAGACCAUGCAAAUACUAUGACAUAGACAGAAGAGAAAAUAUAUUUAACACUAGGAUUCACUUCAGUAGCAGCCAUGUAUUGUGCAAGGCGCAUUAUGUGUCUAAAAAUUGAUGUUGCACUUACAAUGAGAGUCAAGGAAGGACAUCACCCACCAUCUGAAGGCCCGUUUAAGCACAUAAUGAUGGAGUUCAUUAAAUUCAACAAAUGUAGAGGAUAUGAAUAUUGUUUGGUGAUAGUUGACAUGUUCUAAAAAAGUCAAGCAUGCGAAUGCCUUAUCAGUAGCUAAGGCUUUAAAGAGAGAUGGUGUGCCUAGAUGGGGCACAACAGAAUUGACUAAAAUCAUAGUGUCAACAGGGAUGGAUUGGGUGACAGCUCUUCCUUUGGCUCUACUCUACCUCAGAGGCCGUUCAUCAAGAUCUACAGGGUUUAGCCCUUUUGAGAUUUUGACCGGACGUCCCUUGCCGGCUCCCACCUAACCUAAGAGAUAUACAUAGGACAAUGGUUACAUGCGAGAACUGAUUGCUGCUCUGUCUUCUGUUUCCCAACAGGUGGCCUCAGCCCUUCAAAAAAAAAAAAAACUUCCAGGACACACCUAGCCAAGCCAGGCUCCUGGAGACUCAUCAAAGAUUUGUAAAGGACACUGGAACCUCAUCAAGUGUUCUUAGCGACACCUACAGCCAUGAGGAUUGCGGAUAGAGACUCUUGGGUCCAUUUGUCACACUAUAGAGUGGUGAAGAAUCCGGAACAAUACAUGGAUUGAACUGAGUAUCAUAACCAACAGGUGGUUGCACGAGAGGAUUGACAAACAUUUUUUGCAAUAGGCUGAAGAAUACAUAUUUUGAAGAGGAUUAAUAAAAUAUCACUAGCAUCUUAUAA